AAAAAUCGGGUGUUCCGGGGGAAAGAUCCUUUACACAACAUGAGAAGCGAAUGUUCUAAAAUUACAAAAAUUUACAAUAACGACAACGAUUCCUCGAAAUUUUUGUGAACUUGGCAAAAGGAAAAAAGAAUAUUUAAAGAAAGUAAAAAAAAUUGCUUAAAUAACCUUCAAAGCACUGACUAAGUACAAUAAAUCACUGCGAACAUAAAUCGUAUAAACCCCCCGGAAAGUUUACUCAACGACUGAUUGCCUGACUGACUGAUUGCCUGUCUGACUGAUUCGUGUGAAUUCGCCAGCCAUCACAACAGUGUGAAGUGAAACUUCACACUAAAAACGGAUACAAAUAGGUGGUUUGCGAAAUGGAGAGCAAUUUCAAAUCUGUUCAGUUUUUUUAUACACCCUGUAGUGUUUAGGAAACAAAGAAAUACGCUACGUUUCAGUACGAUACGGUUGAAGUGGAAAACGGGCUUAUAAAAAAUGGUUAAAACCCGCAGGAGCAUAACUCGUUUAAAAAUCAGUAAUUACCGCAAAAUUUUUCGUGAGAAAAUUGAAUUUGAAUAUUACAUUUUCAAUGUUUUUCUUAUUGCAGCGAA
Non-coding RNA from Paramuricea clavata, 593 nucleotides. The record is from the annotation of a GenBank genome assembly. NCBI's taxonomy places the organism in Eukaryota, Metazoa, Cnidaria, Anthozoa, Malacalcyonacea, Plexauridae.